This 563-nucleotide ribosomal RNA is filed under the name uncultured bacterium. Its description in RNAcentral is "partial 16S ribosomal RNA". It matches the Rfam family "Bacterial small subunit ribosomal RNA", at positions 355 to 938 of the family's 1533-position model. The record is from RNAcentral.
UGGGGAAUAUUGGACAAUGGGGGCAACCCUGAUCCAGCCAUGCCGCGUGAGUGAUGAAGGCCUUCGGGUUGUAAAGCUCUUUUGGCGGGGACGAUGAUGACGGUACCCGCAGAAUAAGCCCCGGCUAACUUCGUGCCAGCAGCCGCGGUAAGACGAAGGGGGCUAGCGUUGUUCGGAAUUACUGGGCGUAAAGCGAGUGUAGGCGGUUGCCGUAGUCAGGUGUGAAAGCCUUGAGCUCAACUCAAGAAAUGCACUUGAUACUGGGUGACUAGAGGACCGGAGAGGAUAGUGGAAUUCCCAGUGUAGUGGUGAAAUACGUAGAGAUUGGGAAGAACACCAGUGGCGAAGGCGGCUAUCUGGACGGUUACUGACGCUAAGACUCGAAAGCGUGGGGAGCAAAACAGGAUUAGAUACCCUGGUAGUCCACGCCGUAAACGAUGGGUGCUAGACGUUGGCGAGCUUGCUCGUCAGUGUCGCAGCUAACGCGUUAAGCACCCCGCCUGGGGAGUACGGCCGCAAGGUUGAAAACUUAAAGGAAUUGACGGGGGUCAUAGCUGUUUCCU